RNAcentral lists this ribosomal RNA (389 nucleotides) under uncultured bacterium. RNAcentral's name for it is "bacterial SSU rRNA". It matches the Rfam family "Bacterial small subunit ribosomal RNA", at positions 243 to 649 of the family's 1533-position model. The record is from RNAcentral.
AGCUAGUUGGUGUGGUAAAGGCGCACCAAGGCGACGAUCCUUAGCUGGUCUGAGAGGAUGAUCAGCCACACUGGGACUGAGACACGGCCCAGACUCCUACGGGAGGCAGCAGUGGGGAAUAUUGGACAAUGGGCGAAAGCCUGAUCCAGCAAUGCCGCGUGAGUGAUGAAGGCCUUAGGGUUGUAAAGCUCUUUUACCCGGGAUGAUAAUGACAGUACCGGGAGAAUAAGCUCCGGCUAACUCCGUGCCAGCAGCCGCGGUAAUACGGAGGGAGCUAGCGUUGUUCGGAAUUACUGGGCGUAAAGCGCACGUAGGCGGCUUUGUAAGUUAGAGGUGAAAGCCUGGAGCUCAACUCCAGAACUGCCUUUAAGACUGCAUCGCUUGAAUCC